CGCCGCCUCACUGCGGUAUAAAGUCGUCCCAUCCUAAAUGGCCGGUGCGCAGACUCAAUUGCGACAUUUAGGCUAUCAGCCGCCACCCGGCAACAUUUCAGACAACAGGAUUCUGGGUUUCUCAAAGCUGUAAUAGGAGGGCCACCCCAGCACUUCCUACCUGCCUCAUGGGAAGGUCUCAGGCUGAGUCUGUAUGUGCCUGCAGUAAGAAGCCAGCGGUAUGCAUAAGAUUGCCCAGGGGUAGUGGCUGGGUACCCACAGCGUUCACUACAGUCCAGCCUUGAAUACCACCUAAUGCAGUGUUCUGCAUAUCACAGAGUUUUGCUCUUGUUGCCCAGACUGGAGUGCAGUGAUCUUGGCUCACCACAACCUCCGGCUCCCAGUUUGAUUUUCCUGGGUGAAGUGAGAUAUAGACCAGCAGAUACAGGCAUCUAAGUGAACUCAUCAGUCACCAGCAACAAUUUUCUGAAACUUCCUGACCUCCAGAUUGCAGCUUCAUUGAUACAGACUAUCGCUCUGUUGCCAAGACUGGAGUGCAGUGGCAAUCUCAGCUCACUGCAACCUCCACCUCCCAGGAUCAAGCAAUUCUCCUGUCUCAGCCUCUCAAGUAGCUGGGAUUAUAGGCACCUACCAUCAUGCCCAGGUAAUUUUUUUUUUUGUUUUAGAAGUGACAGGGUUUUACCAUAUUGGUCAGGCUGGUUUCAAACUCCAGAGUGAUCCACCUGCCUUGGCCUCCCAAAGUGCUGGCAUUACAGGCAUGAGUCACCAUAGCUGGCCUCAGUCAUUCUUUAAUUGCAAAACUUUAUUUGUUCAUAAGAAACAGACACAGAGGAAUAUACACACAUGAAUAAAGCUCCAUCACAGAUAUGGAAGACAAGAAGAGAAGGAUGUGGGAGGCCUUACUUUGGGAAGGUGAGGCAGGCAGAUCACGAGGUCAGGAGUUCAAGACCAGCCUGACCAACAUGGUGAAACACUAUCUCUACUAAAAAUACAAAAAUUAGCUGGGCAUGGUGGUGCGCACCUGUAAUCCCAGCUUCUCAGGAGGCUGAGGCAGGAGAAUAGCUUGAGGUUGCAGUGAGCCAAGAUUGUGCCACUGCACUAUAGCCUGGCAACAGACUGAGACUCCAUCUCAAAAAAAAAAAAAUAUAUGCACUGUGCUAAAGCUAAGAUUACACAAGUAUCUCAAUCUAAAGGCUAUUAAUGAGGCAAUAGGGAAGAGAAGAGGGA
Molecule: non-coding RNA, 1227 nt
Organism: Callithrix jacchus (white-tufted-ear marmoset)
Lineage: Eukaryota; Metazoa; Chordata; Mammalia; Primates; Cebidae
Source: RefSeq, a predicted model, not a curated record